This 283-nucleotide long non-coding RNA is filed under the name Homo sapiens (human). RNAcentral describes it as "HSALNT0320055". Lineage: Eukaryota; Metazoa; Chordata; Mammalia; Primates; Hominidae. The record is from RNAcentral.
CUCUGUCACCCAGGCUGGAGUGCAGUGGCACGAUCUUGGCUCACUGCAACCUCCGCCUCCUGGGUUCAAGCAAUUCUCUGCCUCAGCCUCCCGAGUAGCUGGGAUUACAGGUGCCCACCACCAUGCCCGGCUAAUUUUUGUAUUUUUAGUAGAGACGGGGUUUCACCAUCUUGGCCAGGCAGGUCUUGAACUCCUGACCUCGUGAUCCACCCGCCUCAGCCUCCCAAAGUGCUGAGGCGGGCGGAUCACUUAAGGCCAGGAGUUUGAGACCAGCCUGGCCAAC